GGGUGCGAUCAUACCAGCACUAAUGCACCGGAUCCCAUCAGAACUCCGCAGUCAAGCGUGCUUGGGCGAGAGUAGUACUAGGAUGGGUGACCUCCCGGGAAGUCCUCGUGUCGCACCCC
RNAcentral lists this ribosomal RNA (119 nucleotides) under Brassica oleracea var. oleracea. Lineage: Eukaryota; Viridiplantae; Streptophyta; Magnoliopsida; Brassicales; Brassicaceae. The record is from RNAcentral.